UAUAGUGUAAACUGCACACAGGCCUUUGAAACCUGAAGAAGACAAACUCUUAUUAUAG
RNAcentral lists this transfer RNA (58 nucleotides) under Platynereis cf. australis PA-2020. RNAcentral describes it as "tRNA-Gln". Lineage: Eukaryota; Metazoa; Annelida; Polychaeta; Phyllodocida; Nereididae. The record is from RNAcentral.